Molecule: transfer RNA, 73 nt
Filed under: Polyangiaceae bacterium LLY-WYZ-15_(1-7)
Lineage: Bacteria; Pseudomonadati; Myxococcota; Polyangiales; Polyangiaceae
Description: tRNA-Ala
Rfam family: tRNA
About the family: Transfer RNA (tRNA) molecules are approximately 80 nucleotides in length. Their secondary structure includes four short double-helical elements and three loops (D, anti-codon, and T loops).
Source: RNAcentral
GGGAUCGUGGCCCAACGGGGAGGGCGCCGGUGUCGCAAGCCGGAGACUGCGGGUUCGAGUCCCGCCGGUUCCA